CCCCGGCGCGGCCCCUCCGUGCUCCCCCCGCUGCCCCGCGCGGGGGUUCCGCCGCCCGCCAGGCCCUGGGCGCAGGAUUCCCAAGAGGAAUCAGUAAAUCCCGGGAUUUUUGCCUCUGGAAGCUCGAGAUGCGUUAGAAUUCCAAGAAUUCCCAGAAUUCCCUUUCCCUAAGGAAUGCAGCACCAUGCGCUGCCUGGCCCUGUCACCCUGACCAUUCCCAUCAGGACCACCCCCAAUCUCUGUCCUGAUCCCGUUUUUCCCGUUGUUUUUCCCAGGAAAUGCAGCACCAUGAGUGCCAUUCCCAUCAGGGCCACCCCCAAUCCC
Long non-coding RNA from Serinus canaria (Common canary), 324 nucleotides. RefSeq lists it as uncharacterized. The transcript is spliced from 3 exons. Lineage: Eukaryota; Metazoa; Chordata; Aves; Passeriformes; Fringillidae. The record is from RefSeq and is a predicted model, not a curated record.